This 253-nucleotide ribosomal RNA is filed under the name uncultured bacterium. Its description in RNAcentral is "partial 16S ribosomal RNA". It matches the Rfam family "Bacterial small subunit ribosomal RNA", at positions 524 to 776 of the family's 1533-position model. The record is from RNAcentral.
UACGAAGGGGGCUAGCGUUGCUCGGAAUUACUGGGCGUAAAGGGCGCGUAGGCGGACAGUUUAGUCAGAGGUGAAAGCCCAGGGCUCAACCUUGGAAUUGCCUUUGAUACUGGCUGUCUUGAGUUCGGGAGAGGUGAGUGGAAUGCCGAGUGUAGAGGUGAAAUGCGUAGAUAUCCGAAGGAACAUCAGUGGCGAAAGCGACUUCCUGGACCAGAACUGACGAUCAGGCACGAAAGCGUGGGGAGCAAACAGG